UACAAAAUUAUCUUUAACCUGUGUAUAUAAAGACGUUCCCCACCGAAUACCAGUUACUUUACUGUUACCCUACAGAUCAUCAUGUGGUCAAUGUUGAUAAUGCUCAGUUGUGUUAUUGGUUCUGUGCAGAGUCAAAUAGUACCUACCUGCCCGAUCGGAAUACCACUACCUAACAUCAAUUGUGGGCGUGGUUCAAAUCGUCAAAACUGCCCGGCUUUGUUUUACUGCAACAUUCACCCGACGGAUGCGUUUGCUGUGUGUUGCAUGAAGCUACCUGGCUAAAUUUGUAUGUCAAAGAUGCAUCGUGUUGUUUGUACAAAGAAAGGAUGUCAUCAAAGAUGUAUGGAUCCUACUUGCUGACCAUUGUUUUGACACAGAUAAAUACAUAAACUAUUUAAUAAAUUGGAAUUCAAAAUCAAAAUGAAA
Long non-coding RNA from Mytilus trossulus (common blue mussel), 426 nucleotides. RefSeq lists it as uncharacterized. Lineage: Eukaryota; Metazoa; Mollusca; Bivalvia; Mytilida; Mytilidae. The transcript is spliced from 3 exons. The record is from RefSeq and is a predicted model, not a curated record.